GUUGCUUAGCGUUGGGAGCCUACAGAUACCCUCUGUAGUUCCUUAAAGUUAGUGGCGGAGUCGGUUUCACACUCUAGACGUAGUAAAUUUUAUCUCGCCUAUAGAUGAGCCGGUCCCUUGCCGUAAAACCCCCUAAUUUCUAAAAGUGACCUCGAUCAGUAGAAACCCGCUGACUAA
Molecule: ribosomal RNA, 177 nt
Filed under: fungal endophyte
Lineage: Eukaryota; Fungi
Description: partial 28S ribosomal RNA
Source: RNAcentral